UACGGAGGGUGCAAGCAUUAAUCGGAAUUAUUGGGCGUAAAGGGCGCGUAGGCGGAAGAAUAAGUCAGAUGUGAAAUUCCAGAGCUCAACUCUGGAGCUGCAUUUGAAACUGUUUUUCUAGAGGGUUGACGGAGAAAACGGAAUUCCACGUGUAGCGGUGAAAUGCGUAGAUAUGUGGAAGAACACCGGUGGCGAAGGCGGUUUUCUAGUUAAUACCUGACGCUGAGGCGCGAGAGCAAGGGGAGCAAACAGG
RNAcentral lists this ribosomal RNA (253 nucleotides) under uncultured prokaryote. RNAcentral describes it as "partial 16S ribosomal RNA". It matches the Rfam family "Bacterial small subunit ribosomal RNA", at positions 524 to 776 of the family's 1533-position model. The record is from RNAcentral.